ACAGCAGACAUAGGAAAGGGGCACAGGCUGGCCUCCUGCAAUCAGCAGAGGUGGUUCAGUGGGAGAAGCCAUCCCCUGGGCUUUCUGUGCUGAUGGGGUCAUGCAGCUUGUUUGUGUAAUUACUGAAAAGGCAAUUU
This is a microRNA precursor of Equus caballus (horse), 137 nucleotides long. Lineage: Eukaryota; Metazoa; Chordata; Mammalia; Perissodactyla; Equidae. The record is from Ensembl.